This 429-nucleotide ribosomal RNA is filed under the name uncultured bacterium. Its description in RNAcentral is "bacterial SSU rRNA". It matches the Rfam family "Bacterial small subunit ribosomal RNA", at positions 29 to 506 of the family's 1533-position model. The record is from RNAcentral.
ACGAACGCUGGCGGCAGGCCUAACACAUGCAAGUCGAACGCCCCGCAAGGGGAGUGGCAGACGGGUGAGUAACGCGUGGGAACGUACCCUUCGGUUCGGAAUAACUCAGGGAAACUUGGGCUAAUACCGGAUACGUCCGUAAGGAGAAAGAUUUAUCGCCGAAGGAUCGGCCCGCGUCGGAUUAGCUAGUUGGCGGGGUAAUGGCCCACCAAGGCGACGAUCCGUAGCUGGUCUGAGAGGAUGAUCAGCCACAUUGGGACUGAGACACGGCCCAAACUCCUACGGGAGGCAGCAGUGGGGAAUAUUGGACAAUGGGCGAAAGCCUGAUCCAGCCAUGCCGCGUGAGUGAUGAAGGCCUUAGGGUUGUAAAGCUCUUUCAGCGGGGAAGAUAAUGACGGUACCCGCAGAAGAAGCCCCGGCUAACUUCGU